GCUGGGUGUGGUGGCACACACCUGUAAUCCCAGUGGCUUGGGAGGCCGAGGUAGGAGGAUUACAAGUUCAAGGUCACCCCAGCAACUAAGUAAGGUCCUAAGAAACUUAGUGAGACCCUGAUUCAA
RNAcentral lists this small RNA (126 nucleotides) under Marmota monax (woodchuck). The record is from RNAcentral. Lineage: Eukaryota; Metazoa; Chordata; Mammalia; Rodentia; Sciuridae.